This 350-nucleotide unclassified non-coding RNA is filed under the name soil metagenome. Its description in RNAcentral is "partial contains 5.8S ribosomal RNA, internal transcribed spacer 2, and large subunit ribosomal RNA". The stretch from base 1 to 120 matches the Rfam family "5.8S ribosomal RNA", at positions 35 to 154 of the family's 154-position model. The record is from RNAcentral.
GAUGAAGAACGCAGCGAAAUGUGAUAAGUAAUGUGAAUUGCAGAAUUCAGUGAAUCAUCGAAUCUUUGAACGCACAUUGCGCCCGCCAGUAUUCUGGCGGGCAUGCCUGUUCGAGCGUCAUUUCAACCCUCAAGCCCAGCUUGGUGUUGGGGAUCGGCACAGGCGCCCUCGGGCGCCCGCCGUCCCCUAAAUCUAGUGGCGGUCCCGCUGCAGCCUCCUCUGCGUAGUAGUUUUCUCCUCGCAAGGGCAGCUCGGUGGCGACCUCGCCGUAAAACCCCCAACUUCUGAAAGGUUGACCUCGAAUCAGGUAGGAAUACCCGCUGAACUUAAGCAUAUCAAUAAGCGGAGGA